RNAcentral lists this non-coding RNA (76 nucleotides) under Halomonas alimentaria. The record is from RNAcentral. RNAcentral also lists the same sequence under 1 other name. Lineage: Bacteria; Pseudomonadati; Pseudomonadota; Gammaproteobacteria; Oceanospirillales; Halomonadaceae.
CCGCGAAACGCCCGGCUCUCGCGAAGAGCCAGGCGUCGUCCGGCGGUGGUGCGCCGGGCCUGAUGAGCAGCCAACC